UCUCUGAGUCGCUCUUUGUUUUUCUCGCAGCUGGCUGUGGUCAUGUGGCUGCUGACCUACGUAGGAGCCGUCUUUAAUGGAAUCACCAUCCUCAUCCUGGCCGACGUCCUGCUCUUCACGGUGCCUCCCGUCUACGAGAAGAACAAGACUCAGAUUGAUCAAUAUAUCGACCUGGCACGUACUCAAGUCAACACUACUAUUGCCAAGCUACAAGAGAAACUCCCAGGAGCUGUGAAGCGCAGCAAAACUGAAUGAUCCCCCAAACCAAGCACCACGUCCCCAUCAUCUUCAUGUUCAUCACCAUAUCUUCCCUCCCUUAUCCCAGUCUCCCGUCUAACUCCUCCUCCCCACACCGUCCACCAUCAGCACCCUACUACACUGAAACUUCCUAGAUAGAAAAUCUCUGAGCUACUCAAUAAUCAACUACUGUGCAGCUUAACUUGCAAGCAUUAGAAAAGAACUGUGCCUGUGCAGACAGGAAGCACAUAGCAAGCGAGGAAGUGGCGUAACGGCACGACGUACCCCGCCCGGCCGUGGACGCGCCGCGGGGGAACGGAGACGGGAUCGAGUGAACUAGACUGAAUCUAUGACCUGGUUUUGUCUCGUGCAGCGAGCAGAGGGUGUACGAUGGCAGCUGAUGUCACAAAAUAGCAAAUGUCUGUACUCGAGCCGCAUGUUUGCCUGAAGGUAAACGGCAACGUCGUCUCCAAGUAAAAAGUCGGCAUCCUUUUGGGUGGUAACAAGUUUCCAUUCAGCGUACAGACACUUGUCUAUGUAAGUAGUUUCUGAAAUGCACUGAACUUUAUUUUUUCAUGAGCAGGUUGAAAUAAAAAGGAUGGGAACUCUGAGCCAGCUGUGAUAAUUUGGUCUAGUUCACCUUCUUCUGAUCAGAUGUAGGUUUGUGUGUUAGAGCCUCGCGUUCUAAAGGAAAGUUCCCGUGCUCCCGUUCCAGCCACAGAGUGUUGAGUUCUCACAUUCACUUGUAAAUUUUGAUUCUUCUUCUCACUUAUUACUGCUCUUGGUAUUAAUUAUACAUUAGCUGCUUGAACUCCCUACUAGCUUGACAGUAGCAAUGUAAGAGUUAUGUUAAGUGUUUUUGAGCUUCAUAAGUUAAACGUGGAGGUCUGUCAGAAGCCUCUCGAGACAUGGAUUCCUGAUUAUGAACUAGGUUAAGCAGCACACGCUCGGAGCUGUGCCACGACCCUUAAAUCGAACGUCCCCGGCUAACUUUGCAGACGAUUGUUUUGUUGAGUUUCAAAAUGACAAAGUGUCAAAUGUUUGAAUCUUCCAGCAUUGUCGUGUCUUUUAGUUUGUAACUCGACUUUAUUAAAUGUAAUGUUGCUUUAGCUUUGGUGCAUUUUAAAAACGUCUUAUUAAUAUCGUUUGGGAAAUCUCACUCGUGCGAUGCGUCGGCUGCGAGAUUAGAGCGUAGGUGUGGGUUUGUAUAAACAGGCGAGUGCGUUUUGAAUGUAGUGUUGCUGGAGGAGAGGGGGCGGGUUACUGCAGAGCUCUGUGUGUCAUCUUGUUUUUCUUCGACUGCCGUGAAGCGCAGGUGUAAGCUGGAGUGUUUCUAUAGGCUGUAUCAUAUUCUUGAUCCUGACUUUGGUUUAAUAUGAAUACUCGUGAUUGUUAUUAUGGUGUUUUUGAUCUCCUGUGUCGGCACUACUGCUUAAUCUCCGUAUUAAUUUAAGGGAUGAAUAUGUGGAUGGAAACGAGACAUCGUGUGUGUUAGUGUUGCUUCGUCGUGCAAGUCUGCUCAUCUCCUGAACGUACCCAACGGCCGGCGGCGAGAGGCCGCCCCUGCCUCGUGUGCUCACCGCUCCCCAUGCAUGUCCUCUGUGUGUUGACUCCUUGUGCAUGCGCCGGUGUCUUGUUCGCACUGUGGGCGAGC
Non-coding RNA from Neolamprologus brichardi, 1891 nucleotides. Lineage: Eukaryota; Metazoa; Chordata; Actinopteri; Cichliformes; Cichlidae. The record is from RefSeq and is a predicted model, not a curated record.